AGAAGGCGCUCCUUGAGGAAGACCUGGAUGCCGUCCGAUCGCCAGGGCCUUCAACGGUUGGAGGAAUCUACUGGUUUGGCGUUCAGGUUUGUUAUUGGUAGAACUAAUGAUAAAUCAAAGAUGGUAAAACUCAAGAAGGAAGUUGCAGAAUAUGAUGAUUUCUUGCUUUUGGACAUUGAGGAACAGUAUAGUAAGCUCCCCUAUAAAACUUUAGCUUUCUUUAAAGCUGCCUAUGCGCUUUUUGAUUCCGAGUUUUACGUUAAAGCAGACGAUGACAUAUACCUGAGGCCAGAUCGUCUCUCUAUACUCUUGGCAAAAGAGCGUACUCACUCUCAAACUUACCUUGGAUGCAUGAAGAAAGGG
This 363-nucleotide unclassified non-coding RNA is filed under the name Hevea brasiliensis (rubber tree). Lineage: Eukaryota; Viridiplantae; Streptophyta; Magnoliopsida; Malpighiales; Euphorbiaceae. The record is from RNAcentral.